GGCUUUAUUUUUUUCUGUCCGUAUUUUUCUACUUACGUUUAGAAUAUUUAUUAAAAGUAUAUAUAGUUGGCCUGUAUGGGUUGUAUUUAUGUUUAAAGAUGGUAAAUACCCCAUUUUUAUACUUGGUAUAUUUUUUUGCUUAAUAUUUACUGGGAUAGCCCCGGGGGGGGGGGGGGGGAACUGAACGUCCACUUUUUAGACACUGUCAGGUUGGAAGUUUGGCUGGGGCACGACUGUUAAAUGAUAAAUACAAGUGUCCCAAGGUGAGCUUAAUGAGAACGGAAACCUCCUGUAGAACAAAAGGGUAAAAGCUCACUUAAUAUUGAUGUUCAGUAUGAAUACAAACUGUGAAAGCAUGACCUAUCGAUCCCUUAGUCUUUACGAGGUGGUGUCAGAAAAGUUAC
Molecule: non-coding RNA, 404 nt
Organism: Paramuricea clavata
Lineage: Eukaryota; Metazoa; Cnidaria; Anthozoa; Malacalcyonacea; Plexauridae
Source: the annotation of a GenBank genome assembly